UACGUAGGGUGCGAGCGUUGUCCGGAAUUACUGGGCGUAAAGAGCUCGUAGGUGGUUUGUCGCGUUGUUCGUGAAAACCGGGGGCUUAACCCUCGGCGUGCGGGCGAUACGGGCAGACUUGAGUACUGCAGGGGAGACUGGAAUUCCUGGUGUAGCGGUGGAAUGCGCAGAUAUCUGGAGGAACACCGGUGGCGAAGGCGGGUCUCUGGGCCGAAACUGACGCUGAGGAGCGAAAGCGUGGGGAGCAAACAGG
Molecule: ribosomal RNA, 253 nt
Filed under: uncultured bacterium
Lineage: Bacteria
Description: partial 16S ribosomal RNA
Rfam family: Bacterial small subunit ribosomal RNA
Source: RNAcentral